AACGCACAUUGCGCCCGUCAGUAUUCUGGCGGGCAUGCCUGUUCGAGCGUCAUUACGCCCCUCAAGUCCCCUGUGGACUUGGUGUUGGGGAUCGGCGAGGCUGGUUUUCCAGCACAGCCGUCCCUUAAAUUAAUUGGCGGUCUCGCCGUGGCCCUCCUCUGCGCAGUAGUAAAGCACUCGCAACAGGAGCCCGGCGCGGUCCACUGCCGUAAAACCCCCCAACUUUUUAUAGUUGACCUCGAAUCAGGUAGGACUACCCGCUGAACUUAA
RNAcentral lists this unclassified non-coding RNA (270 nucleotides) under uncultured Hypocreales. Its description in RNAcentral is "sequence contains 5.8S rRNA gene, ITS2, 28S rRNA gene". Lineage: Eukaryota; Fungi; Ascomycota; Sordariomycetes; Hypocreales. The record is from RNAcentral.